This 464-nucleotide ribosomal RNA is filed under the name uncultured bacterium. RNAcentral's name for it is "partial 16S ribosomal RNA". It matches the Rfam family "Bacterial small subunit ribosomal RNA", at positions 339 to 795 of the family's 1533-position model. The record is from RNAcentral.
CUACGGGUGGCUCCAGUGGGGAAUAUUGCACAAUGGGCGCAAGCCUGAUGCAGCCAUGCCGCGUGUAUGAAGAAGGCCUUCGGGUUGUAAAGUACUUUCAGCGGGGAGGAAGGGAGUAAAGUUAAUACCUUUGCUCAUUGACGUUACCCGCAGAAGAAGCACCGGCUAAGUCCGUGCCAGCAGCCGCGGUAAUACGGAGGGUGCAAGCGUUAAUCGGAAUUACUGGGCGUAAAGCGCACGCAGGCGGUUUGUUAAGUCAGAUGUGAAAUCCCCGGGCUCAACCUGGGAACUGCAUCUGAUACUGGCAAGCUUGAGUCUCGUAGAGGGGGGUAGAAUUCCAGGUGUAGCGGUGAAAUGCGUAGAGAUCUGGAGGAAUACCGGUGGCGAAGGCGGCCCCCUGGACGAAGACUGACGCUCAGGUGCGAAAGCGUGGGGAGCAAACAGGAUUAGAUACCCGGGUAGUC